GUAGGGUGCAAGCGUUAAUCGGAAUUACUGGGCGUAAAGCGUGCSCAGGCGGUUCGCUAAGACCGAUGUGAAAUCCCCGGGCUUAACCUGGGAACUGCAUUGGUGACUGGCGGGCUAGAGUAUGGCAGAGGGGGGUAGAAUUCCACGUGUAGCAGUGAAAUGCGUAGAGAUGUGGAGGAAUACCGAUGGCGAAGGCAGCCCCCUGGGCCAAUACUGACGCUCAUGCACGAAAGCGUGGGGAGCAAACAGGAUUAGAUACCCUGGUAGUCCACGCCCUAAACGAUGUCAACUAGUUGUCGGGUCUUCAUUGACUUGGUAACGAAGCUAACGCGUGAAGUUGACCGCCUGGGGAGUACGGUCGCAAGAUUA
This 369-nucleotide ribosomal RNA is filed under the name uncultured bacterium. RNAcentral describes it as "bacterial SSU rRNA". It matches the Rfam family "Bacterial small subunit ribosomal RNA", at positions 527 to 896 of the family's 1533-position model. The record is from RNAcentral.